UAUUAAAAAUUCUAUCUAUUUCUACUAUUAAAAAUUGAUGUGGCUAGCGGAAUAACCGAACAGUUACACAUGACGUGUCAUAUGUACCUCAUGCUGACAUUCAUAAACUAAUUUUUAACGGUACAAAAUAGAAUUUUUAACA
Molecule: microRNA precursor, 142 nt
Organism: Gossypium arboreum
Lineage: Eukaryota; Viridiplantae; Streptophyta; Magnoliopsida; Malvales; Malvaceae
Rfam family: MIR7502 microRNA precursor family
Source: Rfam